Molecule: ribosomal RNA, 469 nt
Filed under: uncultured bacterium
Lineage: Bacteria
Description: partial 16S ribosomal RNA
Rfam family: Bacterial small subunit ribosomal RNA
Source: RNAcentral
GAUGAACGCUGGCGGCGUGCUUAACACAUGCAAGUCGAACGGUGAACACGGAGCUUGCUCUGUGGGAUCAGUGGCGAACGGGUGAGUAACACGUGAGCAACCUGCCCCUGACUCUGGGAUAAGCGCUGGAAACGGCGUCUAAUACUGGAUAUGUGACGUGACCGCAUGGUCUGCGUUUGGAAAGAUUUUUCGGUUGGGGAUGGGCUCGCGGCCUAUCAGCUUGUUGGUGAGGUAAUGGCUCACCAAGGCGUCGACGGGUAGCCGGCCUGAGAGGGUGACCGGCCACAAUGCGACUGAGGCACGGCCCAGACUCGUACGGGACGCAGCGGUCGGGAAUAUUGCACAGUGGGCGCAAGCCUGAUGCAGAAACGCCGCGUGAGGGAUGACGGCCUUCGGGUUGUAAACAUCUUUUAGCAGGGAAGAAGCGAAAGUGACGGUACCUGCAGAAAAAGCGCCGGCUAACUACGUG